Molecule: ribosomal RNA, 465 nt
Filed under: uncultured bacterium
Lineage: Bacteria
Description: partial 16S ribosomal RNA
Rfam family: Bacterial small subunit ribosomal RNA
Source: RNAcentral
GACGAACGCUGGCGGCGUGCCUAACACAUGCAAGUCGAACGGGAACGCCCCUUUUGGGGUCCCCCGGGUGCGUAACGCGGAGGAACCUGCGCUUAACCUCCCCUUGACUUCCCGAUAACUUUACGAAAACCGGGCAAUUUCCGGGUAGCAAACCUUUCUGCCCUGUGGGGGGGCGCAAGUUUCGGCGGUUUUUGGUGGAAUUACGGCUUAACCGCUUCUUGGUGGGGUAGUGGCUUACCAAGGCUUUGACGGGUAGCCGGCCUGAGAGGGCGACCGGCCACAUUGGGACUGAGAUACGGCCCAGACUCCUACGGGAGGCAGCAGGGGGGAAUAUUGCACAAUGGGCGGAAGCCUGAUGCAGCAACGCCGCGUGCGGGAUGACGGGCUUCGGGUUGUAAACCGCUUUCAGCAGGGGCGAAGCUUGUGGUGACGGUACCUGCAGAAGAAGCACCGGCUAACUACGUG